GUGCCAGCCGCCGCGGUAAUACGAGGGGGGCAAGCGUUAUCCGGAUUCAUUGGGCGUAAAGGGUUCGUAGGCUGACCGAUCAGUCAAAAUUGAAAGACCUUGACUUAAUCAAGGGAACGGUUUUGAUACUGUCGGUCUUGAGUGAGGUAGAGGUGAAUAGAAUUCCUGGUGUAGCGGUGAAAUGCAUAGAUAUCAGGAGGAAUACCAAAGGCGAAGGCAGUUCACUGGACCUAUACUGACGCUGAGGAACGAAAGCGUGGGGAGCAAACAGGAUUAGAGACCCUGGUAGUCCACGCCGUAAACGAUGAGCACUUGGUGGUGGGGGAAUCGACCCCUUCGCUGCCGUAGUUAACGCGUUAAGUGCUCCGCCUGGGGACUACGACCGCAAGGUUGAA
RNAcentral lists this ribosomal RNA (395 nucleotides) under uncultured bacterium. Its description in RNAcentral is "bacterial SSU rRNA". It matches the Rfam family "Bacterial small subunit ribosomal RNA", at positions 505 to 898 of the family's 1533-position model. The record is from RNAcentral.